GCUACUAGGGAUUAGACCCUCUGAAAGGAGGAUUUAAUACCUGAUUGGUAUUCUAUUAGUUCGCAUGGAGUGAUGAUUAAGAUUAAUUGGUCAUGGAUGGGGGGUGCGUUCCAUUAGAUAGUUGGCGGGGUAACGGCCCACCAAGUCUACGAUGGAUAGGGGUUCUGAGAGGAAGGUCCCCCACAUUGGAACUGAGACACGGUCCAAACUCCUACGGGAGGCAGCAGUGAGGAAUAUUGGUCAAUGGACGAGAGUCUGAACCAGCCAAGUAGCGUGAAGGAUGACUGCCCUAUGGGUUGUAAACUUCUUUUAUAAAGGAAUAAAGUUCACUACGUGUAGUGUUUUGUAUGUACUUUAUGAAUAAGCAUCGGCUAACUCCGUGCC
RNAcentral lists this ribosomal RNA (384 nucleotides) under uncultured bacterium. Its description in RNAcentral is "bacterial SSU rRNA". It matches the Rfam family "Bacterial small subunit ribosomal RNA", at positions 132 to 509 of the family's 1533-position model. The record is from RNAcentral.